This 251-nucleotide ribosomal RNA is filed under the name uncultured prokaryote. RNAcentral describes it as "partial 16S rRNA". It matches the Rfam family "Bacterial small subunit ribosomal RNA", at positions 525 to 775 of the family's 1533-position model. The record is from RNAcentral.
ACGGGGGGUGCAAGCGUUGUUCGGAAUCACUGGGCGUAAAGCGCGCGUAGGCGGCUUAGCAAGUCAGAUGUGAAAUCCCUGGGCUUAACCUAGGAAGUGCAUUUGAAACUGUAUGACUCGAGUACGGGAGAGGAAAGUGGAAUUCCUGGUGUAGAGGUGAAAUUCGUAGAUAUCAGGAGGAACACCGGUGGCGAAGGCGACUUUCUGGCCCUAUACUGACGCUGAGACGCGAAAGCGUGGGUAGCAAACAG